AAACCGUGUGGCGGCGGCUACCUCGGCUGUUUUGGCCUCCUCGCGUUUCCUCAGUUUCAACCCUCGAGUUCGUGACUACCAAUUCCUCUUUGAGGAUGUCUUGGAAUUGUACAAGCAUUA
RNAcentral lists this non-coding RNA (120 nucleotides) under Platyophrya macrostoma. Lineage: Eukaryota; Ciliophora; Colpodea; Cyrtolophosidida; Platyophryidae. The record is from RNAcentral.